GGGUAUAGCUCAGUGGUAGAGUGUGUGCUUAGCAUACAUGAGGUCCUGGGUUCAGUCCCCAGUACCUCCA
This 70-nucleotide transfer RNA is filed under the name Camelus bactrianus (Bactrian camel). It matches the Rfam family "tRNA". Rfam says of the family: Transfer RNA (tRNA) molecules are approximately 80 nucleotides in length. Their secondary structure includes four short double-helical elements and three loops (D, anti-codon, and T loops). RNAcentral also lists the same sequence under 1 other name. Lineage: Eukaryota; Metazoa; Chordata; Mammalia; Artiodactyla; Camelidae. The record is from Rfam by way of RNAcentral.